UUGGGAGUCUGAGAUUCUGUUACUCCCAGAGAGACUUCUUUCCCUUUCCUGCAUCUUUUCCUUUACGCAGACUUUACUCUUUUGCGGGUUAGACACUCGCCCCCCACCUCCACCCCCACCCCCCUACGUCUUGCCUUUUUAUUUGGUUUUAGUUGUGUUCUUUAGGAGAAUUCCAGCCUCCGGGGGGAUUUUUUUUUUUUUCUCUAGCAGAUCCCCACCAGCCUCCCAUCUUGGCUGUCUGGAGGAGACCAGCUUAUCAUUGCCGGGAUGGAGCAGGACAGCUCUCGGGAAUCCCCAUCGCAGGAACGUUCUUCCUUGCCGGGAGAGCCGCCUUCCUCUGCCCUCGGACAGUCCUUCUCCCAGGUUUUGCGCCGGCUUACCAGCCAGGAGUCCCGACGGGGCAAGACCAGAAGUGCAGCACUUCAGGACCUCGGUGCUCUAAUAGAAGCCGCAGAAUGUGAUCAGUUAUUUGAGGGAAGUGGCACAUCGCUCCGCGGAAUGCCCGAGAUUCUGGGGCAGGUGGCAAAAGUCCUGGAGAAGUAUGCAGCCCCACCCAAGGAGCAGGAAGGUAGAGGUCAUGCUAACGCUGAAGUGGCCGAGAAAGCGGCAGCGGUUGGGUUACUAAUUCUUAAACUAUUGGGGAAAGUUGAGGCGGCCAAGAAUUCCUUGCUUUGUCCUACAUGGAAGAUAGGCCUGCGUCACUUGGCAGGACCCAUCUAUAUUUUCGCGGUCACGCACAGCUUGGAGCAGCCAUGGACCAGCCCAAGAUCCCACGAAGUUGCUGGAGAGGUGCUCUCCUUACUCCUUCGAGUUACUCAGUGUAGUUCUGUGGCAGGAUUUCUGCACGGAGAAAAUGAAGAUGAGAAAGGGAGAUUUACGGUAAUAAUGGAGCUUCUCAAACCCGACUUGAAUAAGGAGUCCUGGAAGAAAAACCCUGCCACCAAGCAUGUUUUCUCAUGGACUCUGCAACAGGUCACCCGACCCUGGCUGAACCAGCAUCUGGAAAGGAUCCUUCCCCCAUCACUGCUCAUCUCGGAUGACUAUCAGACCGAGAACAAAAUACUGGGUGUACACUGUGUCCAUCACAUUGUGCUGAAUGUGGUAAGCAGCCUCUGCACUCUGUCAUCUGUGGAUGGGACAGACCGAGUCAUCAUGCCAGCUGCUGAUUUGCUCCAGUAUAACAGAGCGCAGGUCCUAUACCAUGCCCUUUUCAACCACCUGUACACACCAGAGUACAACCUCAUUCAGGUAAUGGCUGUGCUCCUGUGUCUGCUGGAUUUAUUCCCCAUCCUGGAGAAAGGCCUGCACUGGAAGGGAGGUGCUGCUCGACCCACCACGCAAUGUGAUGAGGUCCUGCAGUUGAUCCUGACACACAUGGAGCCAGAGCACCGCCUUCUCUUACGCAGGACCUACGCGAGAAACCUCCCUGCAUUUGUGAAGAGGUUGGGGAUCCUAACUGUCCGGCACUUAAAGAGGCUGGAGCGAGUCAUCGUUGGUUAUCUAGAGGUUUAUGAUGGACCAGAGGAGGAGGCUAGACUGAAGAUACUGGAAACUCUAAGACUUCUCAUGCAGUAUGCAUGGCCCAGAGUUUCCUGUAGACUUGUGGUGUUACUGAAGGCUCUCCUGAAAUUGAUAUGCGAUGUAGCAAGGGAUCCAAACCUUACACCUGAGCCUGUUAAGAACACCUUAUUAGAGGAAGCCACAGAUUGUCUGAUUCUCCUGGACCACUGUUCUCAAGGACAGGUGAAGGGUCUCCUGGUCAAAACUCUCCAAAGCUGUGAAGACAGCAAGGUGGUGAACUGUAUCAGGAAAGUGCGGCAGGUGUCUGAAGGCGCAUCCUACGACGGAACUUAAAUUUGUCUUACUUUCCGAAAGCAGGAAGGCUUUUCUUCUUGUUUUGACUGUGUAAAUGGAAUUAUUUAAGAAAAAAGAAUCUGAAGAGUCACUCUCUGCCUCCUGCUGUUCCAGGGCCUUGUCGAAGGCAUGAAUGGGGAAGUUGUAGAUGUCACCAUACUGAGGAAACAGAACACACAUCGGCUGUAAUGGCAUCUCAAUCUUACACUUGAAGUCCACUGUCCAAUAAGCAUAUUCCUCAGUGAUUAAAUGAGAAUAUUUGA
This is an RNA transcript of Ailuropoda melanoleuca (giant panda), 2117 nucleotides long. It is a transcript of the gene named TELO2 interacting protein 2, with no coding region annotated. NCBI's taxonomy places the organism in Eukaryota, Metazoa, Chordata, Mammalia, Carnivora, Ursidae. The record is from RefSeq and is a predicted model, not a curated record. The transcript is spliced from 8 exons.